Molecule: ribosomal RNA, 468 nt
Filed under: uncultured bacterium
Lineage: Bacteria
Description: partial 16S ribosomal RNA
Rfam family: Bacterial small subunit ribosomal RNA
Source: RNAcentral
GAUGAACGCUGGCGGCGUGCUUAACACAUGCAAGUCGAACGGAAAGGCCCAAGCUUGCUUGGGUACUCGAGUGGCGAACGGGUGAGUAACACGUGGGUGAUCUGCCCUGCACUUCGGGAUAAGCCUGGGAAACUGGGUCUAAUACCGGAUAGGACGAUGGUUUGGAUGCCAUUGUGGAAAGUUUUUUCGGUGUGGGAUGAGCUCGCGGCCUAUCAGCUUGUUGGUGGGGUAAUGGCCUACCAAGGCGUCGACGGGUAGCCGGCCUGAGAGGGUGUACGGCCACAUUGGGACUGAGAUACGGCCCAGACUCCUACGGGAGGCAGCAGUGGGGAAUAUUGCACAAUGGGCGCAAGCCUGAUGCAGCGACGCCGCGUGGGGGAUGACGGCCUUCGGGUUGUAAACUCCUUUCGCUAGGGACGAAGCGUUUUUGUGACGGUACCUGGAGAAGAAGCGCCGGCUAACUACGUG